GGGCCCGCACAAGCGGUGGAGCAUGUGGUUUAAUUCGACGCAACGCGAAGAACCUUACCUGGGCUUGAACUGUCGGUAUAGGGACCCGAAAGGGCGACGAUCCCGGGCAACCGGGAAGCCGAUAGAGGUGCUGCAUGGCUGUCGUCAGCUCGUGUCGUGAGAUGUUGGGUUAAGUCCCGCAACGAGCGCAACCCUUGUCUUUAGUUGCCAGCGAGUCAUGUCGGGCACUCUAAGGAGACUGCCUCGGAUAACGAGGAGGAAGGUGGGGAUGACGUCAAGUCAGCAUGGCCUUUAUGUCCAGGGCUACACACGUGCUACAAUGGGCGGUACAGAAGGACGCGAGACCGCGAGGUCAAGCCAACCCUUAAAACCGUUCUCAGUUCGGAUUGCAGGCUGCAAUUCGCCUGCAUGAAGUCGGAAUCGCUAGUAAUCGCGGAUCAGCUACGCCGCGGUGAAUACGUUCUCGGGCCUU
RNAcentral lists this ribosomal RNA (472 nucleotides) under uncultured bacterium. RNAcentral describes it as "bacterial SSU rRNA". It matches the Rfam family "Bacterial small subunit ribosomal RNA", at positions 917 to 1382 of the family's 1533-position model. The record is from RNAcentral.